Molecule: ribosomal RNA, 465 nt
Filed under: uncultured Klebsiella sp.
Lineage: Bacteria; Pseudomonadati; Pseudomonadota; Gammaproteobacteria; Enterobacterales; Enterobacteriaceae
Description: bacterial SSU rRNA
Rfam family: Bacterial small subunit ribosomal RNA
Source: RNAcentral
CCUACGGGGGGCUGCAGUGGGGAAUAUUGCACAAUGGGCGCAAGCCUGAUGCAGCCAUGCCGCGUGUGUGAAGAAGGCCUUCGGGCUGUAAAGCACUUUCAGCGGGGAGGAAGGCGGUGAGGUUAAUAACCUCAUCGAUUGACGUUACCCGCAGAAGAAGCACCGGCUAACUCCGUGCCAGCAGCCGUGGUAAUACGGAGGGUGCAAGCGUUAAUCGGAAUUACUGGGCGUAAAGCGCACGCAGGCGGUCUGUCAAGUCGGAUGUGAAAUCCCCGGGCUCAACCUGGGAACUGCAUUCGAAACUGGCAGGCUAGAGUCUUGUAGAGGGGGGUAGAAUUCCAGGUGUAGCGGUGAAAUGCGUAGAGAUCUGGAGGAAUACCGGUGGCGAAGGCGGCCCCCUGGACAAAGACUGACGCUCAGGUGCGAAAGCGUGGGGAGCAAACAGGAUUAGAUACCCGGGUAGUC